This 589-nucleotide ribosomal RNA is filed under the name Morchella sp. RNAcentral describes it as "partial large subunit ribosomal RNA". It matches the Rfam family "Eukaryotic large subunit ribosomal RNA", at positions 65 to 668 of the family's 3401-position model. The record is from RNAcentral. Lineage: Eukaryota; Fungi; Ascomycota; Pezizomycetes; Pezizales; Morchellaceae.
CGCACUGGUAUGCCUCAGUACGGCGAGUGAGCGGCAAAAGCUCAAAUUUUAAAGCUGGCACCUUCGGUGUCCGCGUUGUAAUUUUGUGAGGCAUCUCCGGGUAGGGCGCCGGCCUAAGUUCCUUGGAACAGGACGUCAUAGAGGGUGAGAAUCCCGUGCUUGGCUGGCUGUCCCCGUCCAUGUGAGGUGUCUUCGACGAGUCGAGUUGUUUGGGAAUGCAGCUCAAAAUGGGUGGUAAAUUUCAUCUAAAGCUAAAUAUUGGUGGGAGACCGAUAGCGCACAAGUAGAGUGAUCGAAAGAUGAAAAGCACUUUGAAAAUAGAGUUAAAAAGUACGUGAAAUUGUUGAAAGGGAAGCGCUUGAGACCAGACUUCGGUGGGGGGUGAUCAGCUGUCCUUCUGGGCGGUGCACUUGCUCCCCUCCGGGCCAGCAUCGGUUGGGGCGGCGGGAUAAAGAUCCCGGGAAUGUGGCUCCUUUCGGGGAGUGUUAUAGCCCGGGUGAAUGCCGCCAGUUCCGACCGAGGACCGCGCCUUCGGGCUAGGAUGCUUGGCAUAAUGGUCUUCAGCGACCCGUCUUGAACCCACGGACCA